GCCCCGGGCACGCCCCCUCUCGGCCACGCCCCGCGCCCCCUUCCUGGGCCCAGCCCGCCCCGGUCCCCCCAGCCUGGCCACCCCGGGGCUGCGCGCCGCACCCUCACCCCGGGUCGCCGUGGUCGCCCCCCCUUCCCCUUGUCUGCAGCCCGUUCCCCCGGCGCCCCAGAUCCGUGGCCCCGUGGGGCGACUCAAUGUCCCCCACCCCGCCCCGGACGCCGGCCCCACGGAGGAAUGCGCUGCGGCCCGCCCUGCCCGCGGUGACUCACUGCCGGGGAGCCGCGGGAAGCGCCCGAGGCCGGGGACAGCCCGGGGCGCGGUGACGGCGGGACUCAGACCUCCACCCUCCAGGCGCCCCGACACCCAGCCCUGCCGCUCGUGGGGCAGAUGCAGUCGCGGCCCCAGUUCCUCCCAGGCCCCCGGGGAGACCCUUCGGUGGCCCUGCCCCAGCCGGCCUUAUCUCCCAUCUUGCCACCCGCCGGCCGGCGCGCCUGGGACGACCUGCCCUCUUCCCCCUGGGUCGUCGGGCCGACCGGGAGAGCAGGUGUUCUGAACUUCAGUUUUCUCUUCUGUAAAAUGGGGGACGAUGACACUUGUUGGAUUAGGCAACGCACGGAAAAUGCUAGAACAGCUCCCCUUAGUGUUCAGGUUUAACAGGAAGUGAUCGCUGGCUCCUCCAGGGUUCCCGGGGGGCGGGGGGGGGGUGGCGGCAGAAGGGAAUCUACGGGGGCCCCAGCCGCUCCGGGGCCAGCACCUUCCAACACCCCGCCGGGCUGUGACCUGGGCAGGUGGUGCAAAGCAAGGGGAGCAAGGAGGGCACGAGUCCGUUGGGGCUGUGAGAGCCACGCCCCCUCCUGGUGCAAGAUGGAAACGCAGGUACCCUGGUUCAAAAAGUAUUAAUGAUAUUUUCAGGACUGUGAAGGCAGAGCAUAAAGCCAAUGUGGGACCUUCUGGGUGCGGGACCGUCCGGCCGGCCGUGGAGCCAACCCUGCCCCACCUGCCCCCGCUCUGCGGCCUUGGGCAAGUCCCAACCCUGGCCCUUCAGGGUCACCGUGAGGAAUAAGGUGCACCGCUGGCUCAGAUGAGUGGCUUGGGCCAGGCCUCUGCAGAUGGACACACCCACCUGUGCGUCCAGGGCAACUGUCAGCGGUGUGGCAGAGGGCAGGGGGUGCCCAGGACUCUGGCCUGCGGGAGGGAGCACAGGACAAGCAUAGGGAUGCUGGUCAGUGUUGGGGGGAGGGGCGGAGCUGGAAUCGGCAGGCCCGUGGGGUGGCAGGCCAGAGGGUGAAGGGAGCACAGGGUGGGUGGGUGGGGAGACAGAUCUCCCCUCAAGACAACACAGGGCAGACUUAUAAGGGGGUGAGCUCCCCAUCACUACAGGCAUCCCAGCAGAGCUGGUAAAGGGGAUUCCAGCAUCAGGCGGGGUGAGACUGCUGACCCGCCUUCCCGCAGGCUCUCUGUCCUGAGGGGGCCCUGGGCUGUCGGGGCCACGGGAGAGGCAGCCCAGGGGCCAGGCUGCUGCCUCUAGGAAGCCACUGUGAGCCCCCUGGGUGUCCAGCGCUCUGCCGGGACCCCUCCAAGGCCCACCAGCCCGUUUCCCCCACCCGGGGGCCAGUCAUUGGAACCUCAGGGCCAGGCAAACCACAGACACUCGGCACUGCUUAAGCACCUACUGUGUGUCUGUAAGCCUGGCUGGUGCUAGGACCCCGAGGAGAGGGGAGAGGGGAGAAGCCCUGCCUGCCCUGGGGAGUAUGGGGUUGGGGGUGGGCAAGAGGACAGCUUGGAGGUCUCCAUGGGGAGGGCGGGGUGCCACAGGGGGAUUCCCAAGGAGCCCAGGUGAGCGAGGCCCAAGGUGGGCAUUCUUCCAGCCCCAUUUCACAGACGUGGUAGCGGAGGCCCCAGGGAGGGCGGGGCAAGAGAGACAGGAAGGGAUGUGAGAGGUCUUGAAAACCAGGUGAGGCCAGGUGAGCUGCACUUCCGCCAUGCCCACCCAGCGCUCCUCUCUUUGUCCCCAACAGCCAGGCCUUUCUGGGGAGAGUCAGUCGGUGACCAAUGACCUGCGGGGGGGGGGGUGGUCUGAGAGGUGGGCGUCCACGGGAGCUGGGAAAGCAGGUCACAGGGGGUGGGGAGCCCACUGCCACUCUCCCCGGAGGAUGGGGAUGGGCUGGUGGAAAUCCCCCCCAGGCAGCUUCACCACCAACGCCCCUGCCCCGGGGGGCCUGGAAACCCCUCCAGCCAGAGGCCCGUGGGCCGCCUGGCCAAACCAGCAGGAACCCAGAGCAAGGAGGGGACCCUGUCCCCACGCCUGAAGCAGGCCCGUCUGAGGGUCCCUCUGGAACAUGAGGAGGAAGCAAAGCGCUGACCUUGCAACCCCAGCGAAGGUCUCUCAGGGAGACACCCCUGAACCAUUUGAUAGCUAGGAGCCCAGAGGACCCACCAGGCUGGCUUCCUGCAGGGGACCGAGGCCCCCAGUGCGGAUGCGGGCUGCGGCCCAUCAGGGCGCCAGGCCAGGGCCGCAUCCGGGAUUCACGCGGAGCCUGAGGAGACCCUCACCCCCCACCCCCUGUCCCACCAGGCAGACGAGACUGGUCCCCAGACAUCCGGCUGGGGACACCUGUCAUCCCUUCCAGCUGGGUGAGGAUGUCAGGC
This is a long non-coding RNA of Orcinus orca (killer whale), 2649 nucleotides long. RefSeq lists it as uncharacterized. NCBI's taxonomy places the organism in Eukaryota, Metazoa, Chordata, Mammalia, Artiodactyla, Delphinidae. The transcript has 3 exons. The record is from RefSeq and is a predicted model, not a curated record.